This 401-nucleotide RNase P RNA is filed under the name Sphingobacteriales bacterium. RNAcentral describes it as "RNase P RNA component class A". It matches the Rfam family "Bacterial RNase P class A". Rfam says of the family: Ribonuclease P (RNase P) is a ubiquitous endoribonuclease, found in archaea, bacteria and eukarya as well as chloroplasts and mitochondria. Its best characterised activity is the generation of mature 5'-ends of tRNAs by cleaving the 5'-leader elements of precursor-tRNAs. Cellular RNase Ps are ribonucleoproteins. Lineage: Bacteria; Pseudomonadati; Bacteroidota; Sphingobacteriia; Sphingobacteriales. The record is from RNAcentral.
AAGGCAAAUCGUUCUAUCGCUCUUAUUCUUGAGAUAGGGGAGGAAAGUCCGGGCAACACAGAGCGCCGCACUUCCUAACGGGAAGGGUUCGGAGGUAAAAAUCCGGGUACGGAAAGUGCAACAGAAAAUACACCGCCUAAGGUUUGCUUCGGCAAAAACGGUAAGGUUGAAAUGGUGAGGUAAGAGCUCACCGGCGUUGCUGGCAACAGCGCGCCUGGUAAACCCUGCGGGUUGCAAGGCCAAAUAUACCGGCAAUUCCUGUUUGCAAAAGCAGGAUAAAGCUUGCUCGGCUGAUGCCGGAGGGUAGGCUGCUAGAGGUGAAUGGUGACAUUCAUCCCAGAUAAAUGAUAGAAGUUUCUCUUUGAGGAAUACAGAACCCGGCUUACAGAUUUGCCCUAAUA